UCCGAGUUGACCCCGGCAGUCUCCCAUGAGUCCCCGCCAUCACGCGCUGGCAACAUGGAACGAGGGUUGCGCUCGUUGCGGGACUUAACCCAACAUCUCACGACACGAGCUGACGACAGCCAUGCAGCACCUGUAUGAAAGUCAGUACCAUCCCGUUAAGGACUGGUUUUGUUGUUCAUAUGUCAAGGGCUGGUAAGGUGGGGAUGACGUUCGUCUGAC
This 219-nucleotide unclassified non-coding RNA is filed under the name uncultured bacterium. RNAcentral's name for it is "contains 16S-23S intergenic spacer region". The record is from RNAcentral.